UCUCUACUCUCUCUCUUUCUCUCCGUCUCAUUCCUUCGAGCAGUAUCUCUAUUCAUCUCAUCUUUCUCUUCUAACUCCUCUCUUUCAAAACGUCUCCGUAGGUCCAUGCCAAGUACGCUUCCCCGUGGGUUUUCCUUUUUUUUUUUUAAUGCUCCAUAUUCUGUAGAAAAUCAGCUCGUUAAUAGAAAGAUCUCUUUAGAGGAUAAAAUAGAGAUUGUAAAACAUCUUCCAAGAUUGUUUGAAAAUCCCAUUUGAUCAAGAAAUUUCAUGUUGUUUUUUUGGGCUUUAUUAGCUUGGAAAUUUUAGGGGUUUAUUUUUCCAUUUUUUAUAUGUUUUGACAUGUUUUUUCUUCCAUUGUUCUGGCAGCAUUCAUUUUGAUUUUUAUGGGUAUUUUCCGGCCACUUUUUUGUUUUUUUUUUAAAGGUUUUUUUAUCAAGUUCUUUUAAGCUAUCUGUAAAACUUUUGUGCCACUUUUUUGCAGAUUUUCCAAGUUGUUUCCCUCAAUAAUUGGUUAUUUAUUUAUUUAUUUAUUUUAAUUUAUUUAAUGUUUUUUGUUUUGUUUUGCAAGGUUUCUUGUGUGUUUUUAAGGUAUUGUCAUGCCUUUCUGCUCUUUUUUUUGGAUUUUUUUCCCCACAGUUUUUCAGGUAUAUCAGGCAUAGCUUGCUUUGUUUGGGAGAGUCUAUUUUGGGUCUUUUAAUGUAAUUUUCAUUUCCUCCCUGCUGAGUUUAUUGGGGUUUCUCUCUGCUGUGCAGGUCCUUUUAGGUAGUUUUCGUUAUAUAAUUUUUUAUUUCCUCUCUGCUGUGCAGGUCCUUUCAGGUAGUUUUUCAUGCUGUUUUUCUCUGUUUUUAGGUUGUUAAGGAAUUUUUUCUAUUUAUUUCGUAGAAUCCACCCAAAAAGACUCAUGAAUGAAUUGUGAAUUUGAGAAUAGAAGGAUAAGAAAAUAACAAAUUUAAAGAUCUUAAAAAAAAGCAAUUACAUGUAAGUGUAAAUUAGGGCUCUUGUUGAUGCUUUUGUUUCAUUUUCUUUGGGAUGAACUGCUUACCGAUGCAAUGCUGGGCUUGCACUAGCCUUGGUUAGAUUUCUUGCAAUUAUGAGGGGCACGAGUUGCCAUUCCGAGAUAGGGUACUAAGGGAGCUGGCAAACAGCUUCUACUUUAGUACCCUAUGACAUUCUCUUUUUUCUAUGGAUUAAUGUUUUCUUUUGAUUUUAUAUUUGAAUUAAUAUUUGAAAGACUUAUAUAUGAUGGAUUUCCAAACUUAUAUAGAUGUACUAAAUCGCAUGUGAUUGUGUCAGUGUGG
This 1298-nucleotide long non-coding RNA is filed under the name Amborella trichopoda. Its description in RNAcentral is "long non-coding RNA (ATRI_LNC002348)". The record is from RNAcentral. Lineage: Eukaryota; Viridiplantae; Streptophyta; Magnoliopsida; Amborellales; Amborellaceae.